UACGGAGGGGGCUAGCGUUGUUCGGAAUUACUGGGCGUAAAGCGUACGUAGGCGGCUUUGUAAGUUAGAGGUGAAAGCCCGGAGCUCAACUCCGGAACUGCCUUUAAGACUGCAUCGCUAGAAUUGUGGAGAGGUGAGUGGAAUUCCGAGUGUAGAGGUGAAAUUCGUAGAUAUUCGGAAGAACACCAGUGGCGAAGGCGACUCACUGGACACAUAUUGACGCUGAGGUGCGAAAGCGUGGGGAGCAAACAGG
RNAcentral lists this ribosomal RNA (253 nucleotides) under uncultured bacterium. RNAcentral's name for it is "partial 16S ribosomal RNA". It matches the Rfam family "Bacterial small subunit ribosomal RNA", at positions 524 to 776 of the family's 1533-position model. The record is from RNAcentral.